UACAGAGGUGGCAAGCGUUGUUCGGAAUUACUGGGCGUAAAGGGCGCGUAGGCGGCCAACUAAGUCAGACGUGAAAUCCCUCGGCUUAACCGGGGAACUGCGUCUGAUACUGGGUGGCUUGAAUCCGGGAGAGGGAUGCGGAAUUCCAGGUGUAGCGGUGAAAUGCGUAGAUAUCUGGAGGAACACCGGUGGCGAAGGCGGCAUCCUGGACCGGUAUUGACGCUGAGGAGCGAAAGCCAGGGGAGCAAACGGG
Molecule: ribosomal RNA, 253 nt
Filed under: uncultured bacterium
Lineage: Bacteria
Description: partial 16S ribosomal RNA
Rfam family: Bacterial small subunit ribosomal RNA
Source: RNAcentral